Molecule: RNA transcript, 1863 nt
Organism: Labrus mixtus (cuckoo wrasse)
Lineage: Eukaryota; Metazoa; Chordata; Actinopteri; Labriformes; Labridae
Gene name: probable N-acetyltransferase camello
Exons: 3
Source: RefSeq, a predicted model, not a curated record
UAAUUUCAAUCCCUUGUGUGAAUGGCUGAUUACCACAAUCUGUAGCUUAAGUGCAGGCGAGCAGCAGCGCUGAGUCCUUCAGAGUGAACGACAACACGAGGGGGGAAAGAGUCGGCAUGGCCCAGAAAAAUAACUUCGAGUUCUCCAUCAGGGAGUUUCAACCCUCGGACGAACACGUGAUCCGCUCCCUCUUUCGCGACGGCAUCCUCGAACACGUUUACCCGGCUUUCUUCAAGGCCAUGAGCCACCCGGACCACAUCGGCAUCGCUCUGAGCAUCUCCAUGGCCGGCUACGUGCUGGGCGGCAGCUCCUACUUCCAGGCGCUUCUCUUCGGCAGCGCGUGGGCCGGCCUCAUUUACUACUGCUGCCAUGAGAUCUACGACGGCUACGUGGCGAGGAGGCUGAGCUCAGACAUGGCCGUCAUUCAGGCGCACUACCUGGAGAACCCCGAUAACGGUCUGUGGGUGGCCGAGGCGGACGUCAAAGGCCAGUCCAAGGUGGUGGGGAUGGUGGCGGUGACGGGGAAGAGGGGAGCGGAGGACGGCGAGAGGUUCGACGACUGCAACGGGAGCGUCUCGGGAGGGGGAGCGGAGUCCGGCCAAGACGCCGGCGACGGGAGCUACGCCGAGAUGUCGCACAUGGUCGUCGUGUAUCCGUGGCGACGCAAAAACCUGGGUUCGCGGCUGACGGGGAAGGCUCUGGAUUUCUGCAAAGACCGGGGCUUCUCCCGUCUCGUCGUGGACGUCAGCUCCCCGCAGACGGCCGCCGUUUCCCUCUACCAAAAGUUUGGUUUCAUUCAAACGUCGUCCCACAGAAACACACACACCAACCGCUGGUUCUCCAAACUGGCUAGAAUAAAUGUGAAUCAGAUGGAGAAGUUCAUUUAAUGCAAAGAUAGACUUCAGCGCCUCGUGCAGCAACAACUCGUCCUCAGUCCCAGCGCCUUCGAUAUAACACUUUGUCGCAGUUCUUUGGCGUCUCAUACAAAUGCUCAAGUUACCCUUCAGAGUCAGCAUUGCACUCGACGGGAUCAAGUUUAAGCACCUUAAACCCUCCUGUGGCAAAAUUAGAUGACAAGAGAAACCUAUGUUUUGUGACUUAGUGUAACAGUGGGGAGGAUCCAAUUAGGAUGACUGUUGUAGGGGAUGGAUGGCCCAAACAGAGAGAGGACUUUAGGACCCACUGGGACGGGGGUUUGAAACCAAAAAUAAACUAUGCAUUAAUGACUGAAACCAUCCCGUGAUGUAUUCCACUGUCAGGUUCACAGCACAAAAACCAUUUGAUAUUUAGUGCCUACACCUAACUAAAAGUAGCAUACAUUCUUUUAAAUACUAAAUUUCCCCAAAAACUUUUCUGAAACCUCGUCAUGUUUUUGUGCUUAAACCUAGCCAAAAGUAAAGUUGUUGUUUUUUUUAAACCUACCCCUAUAUGUUUCCUGAAACAUGUUUUUUAAAGAUUAUAUUUGUGGCUUGGCUUUCAUGCCUGUAGAGAAACACAGUGAAUAGAGAAGGAAUCUGGGACGAGAGCGUGGGGCAAAGCACCGAGGAUCACAGUCAAACCCAGGCUGCCCGGUUCAAGGAGUAUAGCCUCUUUACAUGGUGUGUGCCACAACCGCUAGGCUAAUUAGCGUCCUUGUUUUCCAUAAUCGUUAACUUUUGAAGUUUUUUGUGUGCGUAAACCUUACCAAAUGAACAUGACUUCAAAGCAGUCUCAACAUCUGUAGGACACAUAAAAGACUCAACCUUUGCAAAAAACUGCAGUUCCUGAAGUGUCCACUUGAGGCUGGCUGCAAAAAACCUCCGAAGUCCCAUUAGCAACCCCUUUAAAAGUGUAAAUUUUUACAGAAGUAAUAAGCGUGUUUAU